Molecule: unclassified non-coding RNA, 18 nt
Filed under: Dictyostelium discoideum
Lineage: Eukaryota; Evosea; Eumycetozoa; Dictyosteliales; Dictyosteliaceae
Source: RNAcentral
CUGAUUUUGGACCCUCUG